GGUUCCAUAGUGUAGCAUUAGUACGUCUGCUUUACACGCAGAAGGGCCUGGGUUCACACCCUAGUGGAGCCA
Molecule: transfer RNA, 72 nt
Filed under: Pteropus alecto (black flying fox)
Lineage: Eukaryota; Metazoa; Chordata; Mammalia; Chiroptera; Pteropodidae
Rfam family: tRNA
About the family: Transfer RNA (tRNA) molecules are approximately 80 nucleotides in length. Their secondary structure includes four short double-helical elements and three loops (D, anti-codon, and T loops).
Source: Rfam by way of RNAcentral